RNAcentral lists this small nuclear RNA (21 nucleotides) under Arabidopsis thaliana (thale cress). RNAcentral describes it as "snRNA_02739". Lineage: Eukaryota; Viridiplantae; Streptophyta; Magnoliopsida; Brassicales; Brassicaceae. The record is from RNAcentral.
UGUUUGAUAUCUCUUCUUGUC